Molecule: ribosomal RNA, 492 nt
Filed under: uncultured bacterium
Lineage: Bacteria
Description: partial 16S ribosomal RNA
Rfam family: Bacterial small subunit ribosomal RNA
Source: RNAcentral
AGUGAACGCUGGCGGUAGGCCUAACACAUGCAAGUGGAACGGCAGCACAGUAAGAGCUUGCUCUUACGGGUGGCGAGUGGCGGACGGGUGAGGAAUACAUCGGAAUCUACUUUUUCGUGGGGGAUAACGUAGGGAAACUUACGCUAAUACCGCAUACGACCUACGGGUGAAAGCAGGGGAUCUUCGGACCUUGCGCGAUUGAAUGAGCCGAUGUCGGAUUAGCUAGUUGGCGGGGUAAAGGCCCACCAAGGCGACGAUCCGUAGCUGGUCUGAGAGGAUGAUCAGCCACACUGGAACUGAGACACGGUCCAGACUCCUACGGGAGGCAGCAGUGGGGAAUAUUGGACAAUGGGCGCAAGCCUGAUCCAGCAAUACCGCGUGGGUGAAGAAGGCCUUCGGGUUGUAAAGCCCUUUUGUUGGGAAAGAAAAGCAGCAGGUUAAUACCCCGCUGUUCUGACGGUACCCAAAGAAUAAGCACCGGCUAACUUCGUG